This 467-nucleotide ribosomal RNA is filed under the name uncultured bacterium. RNAcentral describes it as "partial 16S ribosomal RNA". It matches the Rfam family "Bacterial small subunit ribosomal RNA", at positions 28 to 507 of the family's 1533-position model. The record is from RNAcentral.
GACGAACGCUGGCGGCGUGCUUAACACAUGCAAGUCGAACGGAAAGGCCCUGCUUUUGUGGGGUGCUCGAGUGGCGAACGGGUGGGUAACACGUGAGUAACCUGCCCUUGACUUUGGGAUAACUUCAGGAAACUGGGGCUAAUACCGGAUAGGAGCUCCUGCUGCAUGGUGGGGGUUGGAAAGUUUCGGCGGUUGGGGAUGGACUCGCGGCUUAUCAGCUUGUUGGUGGGGUAGUGGCUUACCAAGGCUUUGACGGGUAGCCGGCCUGAGAGGGUGACCGGCCACAUUGGGACUGAGAUACGGCCCAGACUCCUACGGGAGGCAGCAGUGGGAAUAUUGCACAAUGGGCGGAAGCCUGAUGCAGCAACGCCGCGUGCGGGAUGACGGCCUUCGGGUUGUAAACCGCUUUCGCCUGUGACGAAGCGUGAGUGACGGUAAUGGGUAAAGAAGCACCGGCUAACUACGUG